UACGUAGGGUGCAAGCGUUGUCCGGAAUUAUUGGGCGUAAAGAGCUCGUAGGCGGCUCGUCACGUCGGCUGUGAAAACCCGGGGCUCAACCCCGGGCCUGCAGUCGAUACGGGCGAGCUAGAGUUCGGCAGGGGAGACUGGAAUUCCUGGUGUAGCGGUGAAAUGCGCAGAUAUCAGGAGGAACACCGGUGGCGAAGGCGGGUCUCUGGGCAACAACUGACGCUGAGGAGCGAAAGCGUGGGGAGCGAACAGG
This 253-nucleotide ribosomal RNA is filed under the name uncultured bacterium. RNAcentral describes it as "partial 16S ribosomal RNA". It matches the Rfam family "Bacterial small subunit ribosomal RNA", at positions 524 to 776 of the family's 1533-position model. The record is from RNAcentral.